This 447-nucleotide ribosomal RNA is filed under the name uncultured bacterium. RNAcentral's name for it is "partial 16S ribosomal RNA". It matches the Rfam family "Bacterial small subunit ribosomal RNA", at positions 29 to 523 of the family's 1533-position model. The record is from RNAcentral.
AACGAACGCUGGCGGCAGGCUUAACACAUGCAAGUCGAGCGCCCCGCAAGGGGAGCGGCAGACGGGUGAGUAACGCGUGGGAAUCUACCGUACCCUACGGAAUAGCUCCGGGAAACUGGAAUUAAUACCGUAUACGCCCUACGGGGGAGAGAUUUAUCGGGGUAUGAUGAGCCCGCGUUGGAUUAGCUAGUUGGUGGGGUAAAGGCCUACCAAGGCGACGAUCCAUAGCUGGUCUGAGAGGAUGAUCAGCCACAUAGGGACUGAGACACGGCCAAAACUUCUACGGGGGGCAGCAGGGGGGAAUAUUGAACAAUGGGCGCAAGCCUGAUCCAGCCAGGCCGCGUGGGUGAUGAAGGUCUUAGGAUUGUAAAGCUCUUUCACCGAUGAAGAUAAUGACGGUAGUCGGAGAAGAAGCCCCGGCUAACUUCGUGCCAGCCGCCGCGGUAA